RNAcentral lists this long non-coding RNA (2629 nucleotides) under Helianthus annuus (common sunflower). RNAcentral describes it as "hypothetical non coding rna". Lineage: Eukaryota; Viridiplantae; Streptophyta; Magnoliopsida; Asterales; Asteraceae. The record is from RNAcentral.
GUUUCUUGAAACUAACACUCGCCUCUCUCUUUCCCUUUUGGUGAAAUUUGUUUGUAGUCCAAACCCUAAAUUUUGAAAUCAAUCCAGCCUCUUCUCUCCAAAAGUCAGUUUCAAAGACCCGCGGAAAGAACUGCUUAUUCGCCACCAGUGAUUUCUGCUCGUUUCAUCCAGCGAUCGACGAAUUCUGAUCGUUUCAUACAGGUGAACGACGAAUUCUGCUCGCCUCAUCCAAGCCAGUGGCAGAGGCGAUAUUUUCUGCUGGUAAGUUCAAUCUUCGGUUUAUUGCAAGUUGUUCAUGAUUCCUAUGCUAAUUUCCAUGUACAAUUUGUAUAGGUGUUAUUGUACUUCUUUAUUGUGAAUGGGUUUGCAAGAUUUAGGUGCAGAUGAAAAGCUAUUGUUUUUGUUUGUUUUAUGAUCAAGUAUUCGAUAAAACUCCCCUAUGAAAGUUUUAGUAGUAGUAGUAACUAGUUAGCACCCUAAAAGAAACUUAGUUCAUGGAUUCAUAGUGGUAUAUUGGUAAUCAUCAACAUCGUGUGGCUUUUUAGUUUUCUGUUGUGUGUUGAUUUACAAUAUUACAUCAUAAUUGUGCAUUUAUCUUUCUUGUAUUGAUAAUUGAGAUGCCAUUAGAGAUUGUCCUUCUGUGCUCUUUUAUGCUCAUGAAAUUGUAUGUUUCUAUGAUGAAUUAAAAUAUAAAAAGAUUAUAUUGUGACCCAUCUUUUCAUUGUAUGACUAUUUUCAUGGGUUCUUUUAAGUUAGAUGGGACUGAAAUAACAACGGGUGAUAAUACAUAAAGGGCACAAAAGCUCAAACGCUACUCGUUAUCGGCUCGGUUAAAAGCUCGAACGAGCCAAGGCUCGAGCCUGAAAUAGAGCUCGUUUAGUGCACGAGCCCGAGCUCGAGCCAGAAAUACAAAGCUCGUCUAGGCUCGCGAGCCUAAAUGUGCCCAAACAAACUUUUUCUUGAGACAUAUGUGCAUUGUUAAGCUUAUUCAGUCUUAAAGUUACAAAUUUAUUGGUCAAAGCAGCCAUUAAACUGGUCAAUUUAUUUCUUUCUGAGGCAAUCAAACUUGUUUUUUUUUUUUUUUUGCAUUGAAAAUGAAAGCUUCGUCAAAUGGUUAUCCGGUAGAAGGUCGGCAAUUCUGUUCUUUAAUUCGCUGCUGCUGUUGCUAUUUGUGUUUAUAAACCAUAAGCUUAACAAAAGCUAUCCUCUCUCUGUAGCUUGUAACUGAUUUAUAAACCAAACUUUUUCAUCUUUAUCAGGUAAAAGUAAUAAUAAUUCAAAGUAGUGAUAAUUUUGUUAAAAAAGGAUAUGAUGAUCAAGGGUAUAGUGUACAUGAUUGCUACUUCCACAAGCAUAUUUCACCAAGUUCUUAUUUUUAUUUUUUCCCUUUCUAUAGUUAAAUGUCACUGUACCUUUUGAAUAGGCAGUUAGAUAUAUUCAAGAGUUUUUUGUACAAAUUGUAAUUGUCAGGUUCAAGGAAGGUAAAUUCUGGGCUGGGUUCAAGAAUGAGUUUUUUUUAAUAGCCUCUUUUCUUUUAUAUGCCUAACGUUAUAACUGAAAACCAGCUAUUAAACUGGUCAAAGCAGCUUCUUUUUAAUUCACCCCAUCAACCCAUUUUCUAAUAUUUUUCUCUAAAAACUUUAGUUUAUACACUCUUUUGUCACAAAAUAUAUUUUGGGGCUUUCUAUAUUUCACACUUUCAACAAAAUUCGCCUGUUAAAAACUACAGAACAAUUUUUUUUUUAGAUUUGUUUUUGAAUUUUUACAUUUUUUUGUGAUUUUUUUUUUAUUUUUAGAGGUUUUUUAUUAUAUUUUCUUAUAUGGAUCGAUCCGGAUAGUGAUCCAUCCAUAUCCAUCCAUUGACAGGCCUAGUUUACAGAAUAUGAUUAGGGAGCGAACAUAUGGUGUUAAGUUAAACAGGGUUUUUUAAUUAAAAAAAUAAAUGGUGACUAGGAUGGUGAUUGGGAUGACAUGUGGGAUAAAACUAACACCGGUUAGUUUUAAGUUAACUGGGACCAUUGGGAAAAUAUUUUAAAAAUGUGGGAUUAUUAUGUACCAAGAGUAAAGGUGGGAUUAUUGUGUACAAGAUUGUAAACGUGGGAUUAUUAAAAACAAAUUUCCUUAGUUUUUCUAUAAAAAUGUUAGCCUGCUAGUGUAAACCUUUAUUAAUUUUUUUUUGUAAUAUGAUUUUUUGCACUAUUAUGAGUAGAGUUUAAUAAAUAUUUGUUGAAAACUAAAACCUACGUCGGAGAUGAAGUUUUCCUCAAAAGCAUUCUAAACUCUACCGAGACUGUAGCAAGAGGAAGGGUCCAGAGCUUGGACCCAAAUGAUCUAGUUGGUGGUAUAGAGAUUGGACCAGAAUGGUGUGAGGUAAAUGUUCAAGUACCAAUAAAAAAAGAUGAAAACUUGGUAAGACCAUAUGUUUUAUUUUCUACAAUUCAAGAUUGUAUUGGUGCAUCCAUUGCAUGGCCCUAUCCAUUCAUCUCGGUAGUCCAUGAGGAUUGAGGACGCAUGAUGAUUCAAGAUUUUAUGCUUCUUAUUUCUUUAAUUGCUUUUAAUUUGUUUGUUAAAUGUUAAGACUUUAUAUUAGAUAAUGUUAUAACUUAUUUAUGGUUAGUGUUUUUGUUAU